AUUAGAGUUUGAUCCUGGCUCAGGACGAACGCUGGCGGCGUGCUUAACACAUGCAAGUCGAACGGUGAUGACAGGGCUUGCUCUGUCUGAUCAGUGGCGAACGGGUGAGUAACACGUGAGCAACCUGCCCCUGACUCUGGGAUAACGACCGGAAACGGUCGCUAAUACCGGAUAUGAGACGCACAGGCAUCUGUGGGUCUGGAAAGUUUUUCGGUCAGGGAUGGGCUCGCGGCCUAUCAGCUUGUUGGUGGGGUAACGGCCUACCAAGGCGACGACGGGUAGCCGGCCUGAGAGGGCGACCGGCCACACUGGGACUGAGACACGGCCCAGACUCCUACGGGAGGCAGCAGUGGGGAAUAUUGCGCAAUGGGCGAAAGCCUGAUGCAGCGACGCCGCGUUUUGGUUGCGGCCUUCGGGUUGUAAACCUCUUUCAGCAGGAAGAAGCGCAAAGUGACGGUUCCUUCCAGAUGU
This 471-nucleotide ribosomal RNA is filed under the name Cellulomonas fimi. RNAcentral's name for it is "bacterial SSU rRNA". It matches the Rfam family "Bacterial small subunit ribosomal RNA", at positions 1 to 475 of the family's 1533-position model. Lineage: Bacteria; Bacillati; Actinomycetota; Actinomycetes; Micrococcales; Cellulomonadaceae. The record is from RNAcentral.